UGCAGUCGAACGGCAGCACAGAGGAGCUUGCUCCUUGGGUGGCGAGUGGCGGACGGGUGAGGAAAACGUCGGAAUCUGCCUAUUUGUGGGGGAUAACGUAGGGAAACUUACGCUAAUACCGCAUACGACCUACGGGUGAAAGCGGAGGACCUUCGGGCUUCGCGCAGAUAGAUGAGCCGACGUCGGAUUAGCUAGUUGGGGGGGUAAAGGCCCACCAAGGCGACGAUCCGUAGCUGGUCUGAGAGGAUGAUCAGCCACACUGGAACUGAGACACGGUCCAGACUCCUACGGGAGGCAGCAGUGGGGAAUAUUGGACAAUGGGCGCAAGCCUGAUCCAGCCAUGCCGCGUGUGUGAAGAAGGCCUUCGGGUUGUAAAGCACUUUUGUCCGGAAAGAAAAGCACUGGGUUAAUACCCUGGUGUCAUGACGGUACCGGAAGAAUAAGCACCGGCUAACUUCGUGCCAGCAGCCGCGGUAAUACGAAGGGUGCAAGCGUUACUCGGAAUUACUGGGCGUAAAGCGUGCGUAGGCGGUUUGUUAAGUCUGAUGUGAAAGCCCUGGGCUCAACCUGGGAAUGGCAUUGGAUACUGGCAAUCUAGAAUGUGGUAGAGGGUGGCGGAAUUCCCGGUGUAGCAGUGAAAUGCGUAGAUAUCGGGAGGAACAUCCGUGGCGAAGGCGGCCACCUGGACCAACAUUGACGCUGAG
Molecule: ribosomal RNA, 704 nt
Filed under: Lysobacter sp. Y4_287_1
Lineage: Bacteria; Pseudomonadati; Pseudomonadota; Gammaproteobacteria; Lysobacterales; Lysobacteraceae
Description: bacterial SSU rRNA
Rfam family: Bacterial small subunit ribosomal RNA
Source: RNAcentral